AUGCCUACAGAUUCUCUAUCUCCUAGAGCAGAGUCAUUCCUAAUGGUAGAGGGCCAGUUAAUCCAGAAGGGGUGCAGUAUUAUAAUAACUAGAUCAAUGAACUCAAGAAAUAUGGAAUUGAACCUCAUGUCACUCUUCUUCACUUUGACCUCCCCCAAUCUUUGGAAGAUGAAUAUUCUGGACUCUUGAGCCCAAAGAUUGUAGAGGACUUCACUGCUUAUGCUGAUGUGUGCUUUAGAGAGUUUGGGGAUAGAGUGAAAUACUGGAUCACUGUCAAUGAGCCAAACAUUGAACCCAUCCUUGGCCAUGAUCUGGGAAUAUUUCCACCAAAUCACUGCUCUUCCUCCUUGGCCUCUUCCCUUGGCCUCAAUUGCAGCAAAGGGAAUUCAUCUGUUAAACCAUAUGUAGCUGGUCAUAACCUUUUGCUUUCCCAUGCAUCAGCAGUCUCCCUAUACAGAAAGAAAUAUCAGCCAAAUCAAGGGGGAUAUAUUGGAAUUACCUUACUAGGGAUCUGGUUUGAGCCAGCUACAAGAUUACCA
This is a long non-coding RNA of Zingiber officinale, 539 nucleotides long. RefSeq lists it as uncharacterized. The record is from RefSeq and is a predicted model, not a curated record. The transcript is spliced from 5 exons. Lineage: Eukaryota; Viridiplantae; Streptophyta; Magnoliopsida; Zingiberales; Zingiberaceae.